Scylla paramamosain (green mud crab) is the source of this 682-nucleotide long non-coding RNA. RefSeq lists it as uncharacterized. Lineage: Eukaryota; Metazoa; Arthropoda; Malacostraca; Decapoda; Portunidae. The transcript is spliced from 2 exons. The record is from RefSeq and is a predicted model, not a curated record.
GCUUCAGAAAUUCAGUGACGUCAGGCGCCACGUACCUGAUAUGUGAGAGGCGAGAAGCCAGGCUACCCAGUACUCCUCAAGCCGACAAAAAGUGACUGUACCCUUCUCUAUAGCUGUUCCACGCCUUUGGGUAGUGUAUUAUAAGGUCUUACUGGAGGUACUGAGAGCCACGUCGCUGCUCUGACAAUCCAGGUUAGCCUGUAUUUCUUAAGUCAGCUGCAGGACACUAUCCCCUACUCUGCAUGCUGGUCAUUUUCGCGUCCUGGUGAAGCUUAUGACGGCUCUGGUAAUAAGAUUGCUUGCUAUAGUGGACUAGGCGUGUUUCAUCAGGUCACUAUGCAUCUACAGUGGUGGCGACCCAUCCCUGGUGCUGUUUACUCAUGCUGUGUUCACGAGGUGUACUACUGUUACUGGUUCUACUCAACCAGUGGUGCACUCCAUAAAACGUCAGUAGUGUGUGUAUAUCCUUAAUGUGUGUUCCCAGUGUGUAAGCCUCCGUGGACUUGUAGUGUUGCAAGUAACGAGCUUCCUAGUGUUCUAAGUCUCAGACUCCCUACCUCAGUGAAUUUUGCCUUUUUUUUUUUUAUUUUAUUUUUUUUUUGCUGAAAAUUCUCCAACCUGUUCUCCGGAGAGUCUUUAAGGUAUAAUAAGGUAUAAUAAUAAAAGCAUAAUUCUCCAUUUA